UGGGGAAUAUUGCACAAUGGGGGAAACCCUGAUGCAGCGACGCCGCGUGAACGAAGAAGGUAUUCGUAUCGUAAAGUUCUGUCCUAUGGGAAGAUAAUGACAGUACCAUAGAAGAAAGCUCCGGCUAAAUACGUGCCAGCAGCCGCGGUAAUACGUAUGGAGCGAGCGUUGUCCGGAAUUAUUGGGCGUAAAGGGUACGCAGGCGGUUUAUUAAGUCGAAUGUUAAAGAUCGGGGCUCAACUCCGCAAAGCAUUGGAAACUGAUAAACUUGAGUAGUGGAGAGGAAAGUGGAAUUCCUAGUGUAGUGGUGAAAUACGUAGAUAUUAGGAGGAAUACCAGUAGCGAAGGCGACUUUCUGGACACAAACUGACGCUGAGGUACGAAAGCGUGGGGAGCAAACAGG
RNAcentral lists this ribosomal RNA (403 nucleotides) under bacterium. RNAcentral describes it as "partial 16S ribosomal RNA". It matches the Rfam family "Bacterial small subunit ribosomal RNA", at positions 355 to 776 of the family's 1533-position model. The record is from RNAcentral.